This 253-nucleotide ribosomal RNA is filed under the name uncultured bacterium. RNAcentral describes it as "partial 16S ribosomal RNA". It matches the Rfam family "Bacterial small subunit ribosomal RNA", at positions 524 to 776 of the family's 1533-position model. The record is from RNAcentral.
UACGUAGGGCGCAAGCGUUGUCCGGAAUUAUUGGGCGUAAAGAGCUCGUAGGCGGCUUGUCACGUCGGGUGUGAAAGCCCGGGGCUUAACCCCGGGUCUGCAUUCGAUACGGGCAGGCUAGAGUGUGGUAGGGGAGAUCGGAAUUCCUGGUGUAGCGGUGAAAUGCGCAGAUAUCAGGAGGAACACCGGUGGCGAAGGCGGGUCUCUGGGCAGUAACUGACGCUGAGGAGCGAAAGCGUGGGGAGCGAACAGG